UACGUAGGGUGCGAGCGUUGUCCGGAAUUAUUGGGCGUAAAGAGCUUGUAGGUGGUUUGUCGCGUCUGCUGUGAAAAUCCGAGGCUCAACCUCGGACUUGCAGUGGGUACGGGCAGACUAGAGUGUGGUAGGGGAGACUGGAAUUCCUGGUGUAGCGGUGAAAUGCGCAGAUAUCAGGAGGAACACCGGUGGGCGAAGGCGGG
RNAcentral lists this ribosomal RNA (203 nucleotides) under uncultured bacterium. Its description in RNAcentral is "partial 16S ribosomal RNA". It matches the Rfam family "Bacterial small subunit ribosomal RNA", at positions 524 to 725 of the family's 1533-position model. The record is from RNAcentral.